This 386-nucleotide long non-coding RNA is filed under the name Elaeis guineensis (African oil palm). Its description in RNAcentral is "long non-coding RNA (EGUI_LNC006894)". The record is from RNAcentral. Lineage: Eukaryota; Viridiplantae; Streptophyta; Magnoliopsida; Arecales; Arecaceae.
GAGGAGGGAGUCGAGGGAGCCGGCGUCCAUCUGCUCGAGGAGGACCGCCACAUCACCGGAUGGGGGGAGGAUGACACCGUGGAAGCGGACGACGAAGGGGGAGUCGGUGUGCCGGAGGAUCUCGACCUCGCGGGAGACCUGGCGGCGGAGGGAGGCGUCGGUGUCGGUGUGGAGGAGCUUCAGAGCGUACACCGCCGCCGUUCGGCGGUGACGGACCUUGUAGACCGUGCCGCCGUUGCCGUGGCCAAGCACCUGGAGCUUCUCGAAGUCGGAGAGGCGGUGCUCGGAGGUGGAGGCGGAGGCGGAGGCGGCGACAGCUGGGGGAGCGGGGAGGGGCAAGCGGAGGCGGCAGUCGCCGGUGGCGGAGGCGGAGUCUGGGAGGGGGA